Molecule: small nuclear RNA, 103 nt
Organism: Rhinolophus ferrumequinum (greater horseshoe bat)
Lineage: Eukaryota; Metazoa; Chordata; Mammalia; Chiroptera; Rhinolophidae
Source: Ensembl
AUUUUUCCACAACACAUAUACUAAAACUGGAUUUAUAAGGAAAAGAUCAGCAUGGCCCCUCCAUAAGAAUUACACACAAAUUCUUGAAGUGUUUCAUAUUUUU